UUCCACGCAGCCUGCGUGCGGGGCGGCCGGGGGCCGGGGGCUGCGGUGCCCGGGGACGUGGCCUCAGGAGGUGGGCAUUUCUCGCCCUCCCUGGGCUCCUCCGGGCCCGCACCCCACGUGAAGCGGGCGGAGAGGGGUGUGCGUGUGUGUGACUGGUGGGGAGAGUGAAUGGCGGAGGACUGAAGGGGUUCGGCUCCCCCAGCCGCCGCGUUCACCUCGGUCCAUCCUUCUCGAAGCGAGUCCUUGGAGGCUGGAGCGGCCGGCACCCUGGGCAGAGGAGGAGGAGGAGGACUCGCGCCGGGCGGAGCGUCAGGUCCCGUUUUCCCAUCCGGCCUCCCGAUACAAAGAUUACGGUGCAGAAGGAAAUUGCACUCGCCUCCUCCGCCCCCCGAUACCCAACACAAUGCACCAGCCGCCCGAGGCCACCGCGGCCGCCGCAGACAUUAGUGCUAGGAAGAUGGCGCACCCGGCGGUGUUCCCUCGAAGGGGCAGUGCUGGGGGCAGCGCCUCCGCGCUCAACGCAGCAGGUACCGGCGGGAGUAGCGCUGCCACAUCUUCGGAGGAUUUUCCCCCUCCGUCUCUGCUCCAGCCACCGCCUCCUCCUGCAGCAUCUUCCACGUCGGGACCACAGCCUCCGCCUCCACAAAGCCUGAACCUCCUCUCGCAGGCUCAGCUGCAAGCACAGCCUCUAGCGCCAGGCGGAACUCAGCUGAAAAAGAAAAGUGGCUUCCAGAUAACCAGCGUUACUCCUGCGCAGAUCUCUGCCAGCAUCAGCUCCAACAACAGCAUAGCGGAAGACACUGAGAGCUACGACGACCUGGAUGAGUCGCACACGGAAGAUUUGUCCUCUUCUGAGAUCCUUGAUGUGUCACUUUCCAGGGCCACCGACUUGGGUGAGCCUGAACGAAGCUCCUCGGAAGAGACGCUGAAUAACUUCCAGGAAGCUGAGACACCUGGGGCAGUCUCUCCCAACCAGCCCCACCUUCCUCAGCCUCAUUUGCCUCACCUUCCACCACAGAAUGUUGUGAUCAAUGGGAAUGCUCAUUCGCACCACCUCCAUCACCAUCAUCACAUCCAUCAUGGACACCACCUUCACCAUGGACACCAUCAUCCAUCCCAUGCUGCUGUGGCCAGUGCAUCCAUUCCUGGAGGGCCACCCUCAAGUCCAGCGUCUAGAAAACUCUCUACAACUGGAAGUUCCGAUGGUGGCACGCCAGUUGCACCUACUUCUGCUGUCUCAUCGACUGGCUCACCUGCACCUGUUAUGAGUAACAUUCGUGCUCCAAGUGCUGCAGGCAGUAUAGGUAUAAAUUCUGUUAUUGGCACUAAUGCAACGAAUAAUGCUAACGUUGUGGCUGGGGGUAGUUUCAGUCCUCAUGUGACAAGCAGCAUGGUUGGUAAUGCUAAUAUAAGUUCAAGCAAUAUUCCUGGCGCUGCUAGUGUAAGUGUUGGGCCUGGAGUUACCAGUGGUGUUAACGUGAAUGUUUUGAGUGGCAUGGGCAAUGGUACUGUUUCUUCCUCUGCUGUUAUUGCUAACAGUGUCCCUAAUGCAGCUGCAGGUAUGGCUGUGGGAUUGGUUUCAAGUCAGCAGCAACCAACAGUUAACACAUCCAGGUUCAGAGUUGUGAAGUUAGAUUCUACUUCUGAACCCUUUAAAAAAGGUAGAUGGACUUGCACUGAGUUCUAUGAAAAAGAAAACGCUGUGCCCGCUACAGAAGGUGUGGUGAUAAAUAAAGUGGUGGAGACUGUCAAACAGAACCCCACAGAAGCAUCUUCAGAGAGGGAGAGCACUAGUGGGAGCUCAGUGAGCAGUAGUGUCAGCACACUGAGUCACUACACGGAGAGUGUGGGAAGUGGAGAGAUGGGAGCCCCUUCUGUGAUGGUGCAGCAGCAACAGCAGCUGCCAGUGCUUCAGGGUGUGGCCCUCCAGCACGUGGAGUUCACUAGUCCUGCUCCUCAGAGUCUUUCAGCAGUUAGUAUACCACAGAGUAUUUCUCAGUCACAGAUGUCACAAGUACAGUUACAAUCUCAAGAACUGAGCUAUCCACAAAAGCAAGGUCUUCAAGCAGUACCUCUGCAAGCCGCCAUGAAUGCAGCGGCUGGGAUCCAGCCGUCGCCUGUGACCGCUGUUGGUGUAACUUCAGCUACAGGUCAGCAGCCUUCCAUUUCCAGUUUGGCUCAACCCCAACUGCCAUAUUCUCAGACGGCUCCUGCACUGCAAACCCCCCUCCCCGGGGCACCACCCCAACACUUACAAUAUGGACAGCAGCAGCCAAUGGCUUCUACACAGAUGGCUCCAGGCCAUGGUCAAUCAGUGACUCAAAUUCCUACUUCAGAGUAUGUACAACAGCAGCCGAUUCUGCAAACAGCAAUGUCCUCUGGACAGUCCAGUUCUGCAGGAGUGGGAACAGGAGCAACUGUGAUCCCUGUGGCCCAGCCACAGGGGAUCCAGCUGCCAGUGCAGUCCACAGCAGUACAGGUCCAACCUGCAGGGGCAUCUGGCCAGCUUAUUGGCCAGGCUCAAACGGCUGUGUCUGCUGUACCUACUGGUGGUCAAAUUGCAAAUACUGGUCAACAAGCAAACAUGCCUACUGCAGUGCAACAGCCUGCUCCCCAAGUUCCACCUUCAGUUACUCAGCAAGGUGCUCCUCCAUCUUCACAAGUAGCUCCACCUGCUCCAACUGGGAUUAUUCAUCAGGGAGUUCAAACUAGUGCUUCAAGCCUUCCUCAACAGUUGGUUGUUGGACCCCAGAGUACCUUGGUAACAACUGUGCCUCCCCAGCCACAGGGAGUAGAACCAGGAGCUCAAGGAGUUGUACCGCAGCAGCAGUUGCCUGCAGUUAGUCCUUUGCCCUCUGCUAGUAGUAUUUCUGUUGCAAAUCAGGUUAGUUCAACUGGUUCUUCUGGAAUGCCUUCUGCCCCAACAAACUUAGUUCCACCACAAAAUAUAGCACAACCACCUGCCACCCAAAAUGGUAAUUUGGUUCAAAGUGUUAGUCAAUCUCCCUUGAUAGCAACUAACAUAAAUUUGCCUUUGGCACAACAGAUACCACUAAGUUCUACUCAGUUCUCUGCACAAUCAUUAGCUCAGGCAAUUGGAAGCCAAAUCGAAGAUGCCAGGCGCCCAGCAGAACCCUCCUUAGUCGGUUUACCUGAGACUAUCAGUGGUGACAGUGGGGGAAUGUCAGCAGUUUCUGAUGGGAGUAGCAGCAGCCUAGCAGCCUCUGCUUCUCUUUUCCCGUUGAAGGUGCUACCGCUGACGACACCCCUGGUGGAUGGCGAGGAUGAGAGCUCUCUAUUUCAGUGCUUCUCUCCUACCAGAGGUGCAAGGAAUGAUCCUAGAGCCACAGAUACGGCCAAGACCACGGAGAGCUUUUGACGUCAGGGGUCUACUUUCUCCACUGACCCCUUGGAGACAGAAUAUCCAGCUUCUGGAGAGAGUGGGAAAGGAUAAUAAACAAGUAUCUUGCAAAUGGGAGACCGGUUUAUUUGUUCUCUAAUGCCCAGAUUUCUUUCAACUGGUAAACAUCAUACCUCUUCAGCAAAAGGAAUUCUUCUAGCAGAGCCCUCAUGGAUGACUUGAGUCAGACACCAGCAGCUGCAGUUUGGAAGGCAGUGGUGAAUGGACCCAUGCAGUAUGUCUAGAAGACACAAGGAUGAGCCAGCUACCUGAUUUGUUAUCCAUCAACUUUAAGAUUUGCUCUGGUUUAUUCUUGGUCUGAACAUGGAAAGGCUCAAAUAAUGAAAUAAUCUUUUCAGAUUGGAAUUUUACAUGGCCAUGAAAAUUCUUUCUAUUCAGAGGACUGAAAUAGAGGAAGUUUGAGAGACUCCUUUCUUUUAAAGCAGCUCUCUGUGUUUCACUUAAAAGAUCUGUGAGUCUGAAAAUAACCUUAAUAAAAGUAGGCAAACUUAUAAGUAGCAUAGAAAAUCUAAAAAUAAGUUGAUGAAACCUUGUUUUGUUACCUGACACUAAAAGGGACUAGAAAAUAAAGGGUGACCUUCUUAAUUAUUCCAGGGUCACUUUCAAUGUUUAAUAUCAGGAUAUGCUGUAGUUCAUCAUUUACUGGUCUUGAGCCUUAUUCUUGUUAUAUAUUUGUUAAAUUAGCAAAGUCAAAGAGCUAUCUUGGAGAUUACAGUAGCUUUGUCUGUCUUCUAUAGUAAUAAAUACCUAUUGAACUCGAGUUAUCACACUUACUCUACAUGGAAGGCUCACUAAAGUUUGAGUAGCACAGAGCAUCAUUUAUAGAAUGAAGGCAAUUUAAGUGUUAGAUAAGUCAGCAGGAGUGAAGAUCUGUUGCAGAGUAGUAACCCACACUGUUAGCUGGUAGUAGUUAUCAAGUUAUUUGUUUCUGUUUUUAAAUUUUUAUUUAUUUGUUUAUUUUGCUUGCCUGUUAACUGAUCAGUAAAAAGCUACUAAGAAAAAAAUGUAACAGUCACCUGAUGCUGCUAGUUUCUUUUGUUUUGGAAUAAAUUUUAAGAAAGGAAAUUGAGUUAGUGACACACAAACAGCUAAAGUGUUCUAGGAAUCUCAAAAGUUUUAGAAACCACAUUUGCUAAAAUAUAACCUGGCCUUUAGUCUUUCUUGUCUAUGAGAACUAUAUUUUCCAUUGAUUAUAAAUACACUUUCAGAAAAGUAAAAAUAAGUUUGAAAGUUGAAUUUGAACUAAAACUUUCCCCAGACAACUCUGAAUUCCUAUACAAUGAUACUUUGUGUUUUUGAUGGUUAAUAAAAGAGUUUAUAAGCAUACAAAAGACAAAUAAAAAUCUACUCAACGUUUUAGAACCCAGGGGAAUGAAAGUGAAAUUUGCUUAGGAAUUAAAUUAGUUGAAUUCUUUGACUCACAGUACAAACCCUUUUAUGGCCUGUGAGACUUCUGUUUCUAUUUUGAAGAUGAAAAGUGGUUUCACCUCUUAUCUUAUGCUUUAAUUGCAUUUAGCUCUGUUCCUUAAAAGUGUGCAAAAGAAAUGUAAGUGCAUUUCUAUUUACCUCAUGCCACUACAAGCUAUUUAAAAGUGAAACUCUUUGUAUAUUAAUGUGAACUGAUUUGUUUAUUUAAACUUUUAUUUUGAUGCAUUAAUCCUUUUAGAUUUUUUUAAACAGUAAUUUCCUGUUACAAUAU
This is an RNA transcript of Jaculus jaculus (lesser Egyptian jerboa), 5120 nucleotides long. It is a transcript of the gene named TSC22 domain family member 1, with no coding region annotated. Lineage: Eukaryota; Metazoa; Chordata; Mammalia; Rodentia; Dipodidae. The transcript has 3 exons. The record is from RefSeq and is a predicted model, not a curated record.